This 817-nucleotide ribosomal RNA is filed under the name Paraclostridium bifermentans. RNAcentral's name for it is "bacterial LSU rRNA". It matches the Rfam family "Bacterial large subunit ribosomal RNA", at positions 1116 to 1935 of the family's 2925-position model. The record is from RNAcentral. Lineage: Bacteria; Bacillati; Bacillota; Clostridia; Peptostreptococcales; Peptostreptococcaceae.
CCACUCAUUUAAAGAGUGCGUAAUAGCUCACUGGUCGAGUGAUCCUGCGCCGAAGAUUACCGGGGCUAAAACUUACUACCGAAGCUACGAUAUCAUUUAUGAUAGGUAGGGGAGCUUCCUAUGCAGGCUGAAGCAUGACCGUAAGGACGUGUGGACAGUAUAGGAGUGAGAAUGUUGGCAUGAGUAGCGAGACGUGGGUGAGAAUCCCACGGGCCGUAAACCCAAGGUUUCCAGGGGAAGGUUCGUCCGCCCUGGGUUAGUCGGGACCUAAGCCGAGGCCGAAAGGCGUAGGUGAUGGACAACAGGUUGAGAUUCCUGUACCACCGAUAAUCGUUUGAGAGAUGGAAUGACACAGUAGGAUAAGCUAACCACACUGUUGGUUAUGUGUGGCUAAGUACUGAGGCAGUCAAGGCAGGCAAAUCCGCCAUGAUAAUGCUGGGGUACGAUGGGGAGCGAAAUUAAGUAGCGAAGUAGCUGAUUUCACACUGUCGAGAAAAGUUUCUAUCGAGAUUAAAGGUGCCCGUACCGCAAACCGACACAGGUGGGUGAGGAGAGUAUCCUAAGGCCAGCGAGAGAACUGUUGUUAAGGAACUCGGCAAAAUGACCCCGUAACUUAGGGAGAAGGGGUGCCACGUUAGGGUUAACGCCCGAGGUGGCCGCAGAGAAUAGGCCCAAGCGACUGUUUACCAAAAACACAGGUUUCUGCUAAGUCGCAAGACGAUGUAUAGGAGCUGACGCCUGCCCGGUGCUGGAAGGUUAAGGGGAUCUGUUAGGAUUUAUCCGAAGCAGUGAACUUAAGCCCCAGUAAACGGCGGCC